AUGGCCGUGCCUUGCACACGCAGACCUGGGGGCUCUCCAGGCCCACGCUGUCACCCCCGGCCGUGGCUGCGCGCUCGGCCCGGCCGCAGGAGGCGGCGGGAGCUCCGCGCUGCCGCCGCCCCCGGCCCGGCCGCGCUUCCGCCCGCGUCAGCUGACUGUGCCCGGCAGCGGCCCGGCCCGGCCCGCGGAACCUCGGCGCGCCCAGCCCGCACCAUGGCGGGGGUCGUGGUGAGCGGAGCACAGGUGUCCUACAUUAGUCAGGACUGUGAAGAAAUUCCAGAAUUCCUGGGAAGAAAAUAUGGACAUAUGGCAAAAAGGCUAGAUCUUAGCUUCAACUUGUUAAGGUGAUAACAGGGAAAAAAUGUGUGGAGCAGGACUCUCAUUUUAUUUUGAACUUAAUACUCUGAAAUUGAGCAUGAUUUCCAGGAGUUCCAAUAUGGGAAGUAAGGAGGUAAUGAGACAAAUUUCUUGUCCUGAAUUUGGAGAUUGUUUUUGUAUACAUAAAUGUGAAUUUCCUUAAGGUAUGUAAGAAUGUUCCAUCCUUGCUAUUGUGGUAUAUCAAGCAUACUGUAAAACCAGAGAAAUUUGCCCUUUUUGCAAACUGAGAUGUCUUGGGCAUGUUUGUGCUGCUUGCAUGACAUGUGAAGAAGUCUGAGGUAGCUUCUUUAACAUCUAGGCUGAAGAGGGAAAAGAGGACACCAGAUUCCAGUCUUGGCUUCCUAUGGCGUUUUCUGGGAGAAGUGUUCACAAUGUCUACAUAAGGAACCCAUCAUAAGCAGCUUGAAUGCUUCCUAUUGAUUAAAGUAACUGGUGUCACAAAUCUGUUGGAACAAAGAAGUCAAAUGUCUAGGAAAUCAUGGAGUGUCAAGAUACUGAUUUUUAUCCCAGUGAUGUUUGCUGACCGUUACUUCCAUGUGUUGCUCUUUGUAUUAUGCUUACAGAUUGAAAAGAAAAAGCUUUCUCUGUAAUGCACAAAAAUUUGCAAUCUAGGUAGGACUUUCAAGUCCUAUUCUCUCAAACUGAAACAUAGAACUUAAUUCCUGUUCAAGGAUACAACAAACUCUGCAUCUCCAUUCCCAUUUACAACUUCUUUUCUCAUUCCUGUCAGUGAAGAGAAAAAGAAUUUUGGUUGCUGGAGAAGGCUUUAUGCCUAUACCUUAAAGAUAGAUCCUAAAAUCUCUCAUAAUUUCAGCUGCUUCUUUUAUUUUUCUUUUCCUUUUCUGUCUCACUCUUUCCCCAAAAAAUUGGCUCAACAUUUCUAAAUGUCAGGGGAAGUGAUUGUUCCUUUUUUUAAAGCAAGGCACUUGGAAAAGCAGGGUUAUAACUAUUACUUGACAUUCAUGCUGAGCAUGUACCUCCUUGGUUUCAUGGAAGUGCUUUUUUUCAUGGAGCCUAAAAGGAACUUGGUGAAGGCUAAUUGUACUUCAUUGAUAUACUCUUUAUUUUGCUACCAGCUCUUGUUACUCCCUUUUUAUUUUAUUAUUUUUUUAAUGCUUUGACUCUCAAAAAAAAAAUCUGAUGGUUGAGCGAGCGCAGCCAAACUGGCAAAACCUUCUUACACCCAGCCCUAAUAGCCGUAAGGUUUAUUAGCCAAAGUGAUGAAUAAGAAAAUGUGGAUGUUGAGUACAUUACUUACCCCCUCUUUGUUCUGUACUUGCAUCUGUAAAGUAGAGGCUGAAAUACUAAACCACACCAAAUGCUGAACCUUAAUGUAUGUUGGUAAAUCACUUACUAUUGCCAAAUACAUUACAGAAAUGCCUUGUUAAUGUUACCUAAAUUAUGUCACUGGUCAAAAAAUAAAAUCAAAUAUGUUUUGUGCUCCAGAAUUUAUGGUUCAGCAUAUUGACUUCCAGCUUGAUGAUCUUUCAACAUGCUAAAGUUGGUAGGGAUCUGAGAUAGUAUUGGUGUGGUGUUUUAUUAUAAAUCAAAGACAAAAACAUUUCUGGUUCAAGAAUUCCAAAGCAUGUUAUGUACUUUGCUAUGUGGAGUUAAAUUUCUCUUCCCAUGCCCCAAGUAAAUUGCAAAUUAACGCUAGUAAAUCACAUUGCAGCAGUUGGUAAGAAGUGAAAGUAUAUUAAUAAUUAAAUAGUUCUUUUCAGCCACCCCUCCCCCCUUCCUUUUUUAUGUGGUGAUUUUCUAGACUCAAAAUCAGCGUGUCUCAUCCAGGCUAUCUAUAAUAUAUAGUUGUUUCAAAUCAGCUUUACUUACUGAGCUUUUUCUAGUAAUGGAGCUCUGUCAGCAAAAAGCAUAUGCACCAGCAAAUGAUGAACGAUGGACUUGUGUCAAAUGGAAGCUUGAAAGGUGCUUCUGUAGUUAAAUGGAUUAGUCUGCACCAGAAGUUCAAAACUCCUCAAGUGUAAUUGUUUCGGAGAAAAGGUGUCCCUGGAUUGAUAGAGGAGGCUAAGCAAUGAGAGCUAGAGGAAGAACUGCUUUAUCAGAUGUGAGGGUUUACUAAUCCACAAGAAGUAGGCUUUGCUGUUACAAGAUUGCUGGUUUGAUGCUUCUGCAAGUUUUCUUCUUUUUUCUCAUGGGAAAGUUGUAAAGAUUUGUCAGUGAAAGACAGAUAUUUGGGGAUCUUUUUUAUACAAAAUUAGCAAGCUUAAUUCCAUUUAUGUGGCCAUGUGCAACAGUAAUUUCAAAAUAAUCUGUAGUGUUUUUGAUGCACUUUGUAAAAAUGUUGCUUCUUGUUUCAGUAGUAGUGUUAACUAUGAAACCAACUUAGUCUGCUAUAGUUAUUUUGCAAUUUCAUAUUGAAUAAGAUAGAGAUUGCUAUAUAAAAGUAAAAAACCUUGCAUGUAAAUUGUAACUUCAGAUAAAUAGUGUUCUAUUAGUGUUGCUGAUUAAAUAUUUCAUGAUUUGUUGUUAAUGUGUAAAUCUCACACGAAAGAAAAUAUUUACAGGGGAAGAAGUGUGCAUUAGGAAUUAAACUUUUGAAAUAUUUUUCCUGGGUUUUUUUUGUAUAUUAUUUUGGCUGUACUUAAAAUGGGUGUGCCAUAAGAGUGUUCAACAAAAGAAUAGCUAUAAGCAGGGAGGUUUUCACUGCUCCUCAGUCUUUCCAUUGUGCCAGUUUUUCCUUCUCUUCUGCUUCUUUGCAAUUGUUAGCCUUCAUGUGAACUGAAAGGUACUUCAAAACACUGGAAGAAAAUAGUCUGAAAGCUUCAUGUGCGUUUGCUUCAUAGUAAAGAGAAGUGAAGAAGUUGAAGACUUUUUCCACUGACAGGUGUUUGUGUGUCAGAGCAAUGAAUGCUUUUGAUGGCAAACCUACUUGCUUUUCUUCAUUGUACUCUUCUUCCUAAAUAUUAAAAAAAAGGAUAAAUUCUGACAACAAAAAUUCUCCAAACUGUAUAAUAGAAAGCUUGCUUUAUUUAUUUAUAUUUUAUAAAAGGAGAGAUUUAAAUUAUUUCAAUGGCUAUUCACUUUUCUUUCGUGUGGGUGAAAAGAACAGCAAUUGAGCAGUGACUGGAAUGGUGAAGGCUCUUUUUAGUUGUAUCCUCAUUAUGAUACAAAAAUAUUGUCAUCUGAUGAUUAGUUGGUACCAAAUUUCAUUGUCUUACAGAGUGCACACCGUCCUUUAAAAUAAUAUGAAAGAGUCCCAUCUUAUGGAGCCUAAAACUAUUCUAAAUAGCCACUUAUUUUUAAAGAUUGUUUUCACAUUUUUCAGUCCUCUGCUGCUAGUUUAUUAGCAUGGUGCAUGGCUGUCAUUUACUUAGUUUAUUGUCUGGUGAAAGACAGUAAUUGAAGAUUGUUUUGCAGGUGCUAAAUGUUCUGAUCUUUGGUUGUUUUCAUAUGUUAAGCUGUGCAAUGCAGUUGUAUCAUAUGGAAUUGCAUAUGCAUCAACAGCACAGUCAAAUCGACCAUUUGGAAGAGAUUAAAAACAAGAGUUGAAAAAAAUAUGACUAAGUAAGUGUAUUCUGUCAAACAUGAGAAACUCUUCCUGUUUAAUAUGAAAAAAAGAGUUAACUAAAUAAAUUAAUAACCCAUUUGGUUGUAAGUUCAUUUUUUCUUUCCAUUAAUGGUGGAAGUAAUUUGAAUGAUGGCUAAAAAUGGUACAAAAAUGGAGUCUGAACACAUCGUGCUGGGCUAUUUGUCCUUGAAG
RNAcentral lists this long non-coding RNA (4096 nucleotides) under Catharus ustulatus (Swainson's thrush). RNAcentral's name for it is "lncRNA (ENSCUSG00005000715.1)". Lineage: Eukaryota; Metazoa; Chordata; Aves; Passeriformes; Turdidae. The record is from RNAcentral.